AUUUGUACACCUAGAUCUGUA
Molecule: microRNA, 21 nt
Filed under: Arabidopsis thaliana (thale cress)
Lineage: Eukaryota; Viridiplantae; Streptophyta; Magnoliopsida; Brassicales; Brassicaceae
Description: ath-miR5014b
Source: miRBase by way of RNAcentral